GAAAAAUGGCAGUAGUUCUGUUUGUGCUGUCGAACGGAUGAUCCUGAAAUACCUAAACCCAAGUCAAGCUCCUUCAGUCAACAAGAACAAAGUUUAUAACAUAAUAAUGUUGGCGUAUGGACUUGAGAAACAACAUAAUGUUGGCCAGAAGGUGCAGAGACAAACUUGAAUGCAAGCUUUCUCAAAUUUUCCAAACAAUACAGAUGACAAAAUCAACAAAAUAGAAUGGAAAAUGACUUACACUUUUAAGGCAUGCUCGAAUCUUGAUCUAAAAUUGGUGCUGGGUCGAUUGUUGGUCACCAAAUCUAAAUGAAGAAUUCCUCAGACCAAAUGAAAUUAAAAGUUAGGACUUCACAAAACCAAUUGAAAAUCUGAUUCCAAAGUUCCAAACACCCACCAAAUGAUUCCGGAUAAAGUUUAAACUCAAAAACCCAACAGAAACAAAAGCAUUGGUGUGGAUUAACUAUAUCUGAUUGUCGAACGGAUGAUACUGAAAUACCUAAAAGGCUAAACCCAAGUCAAGCUCCUUCAAUCAACAAGAACAUAGUUUAUAAUAUAAGGGCACGUUUGUUUGACAGGAUUAGCAAGGCUUGGACUGGACUAGACUAUAGUCCUGUGUUUGGUGUGCAACCGGAUUAGCUUUAAUGGGCUUAGGUGGGACUCGCUCGGAUUACACGCCUCCUUACAAGUUCUUAACGAAGAACCCCAAUUUUGGGCGGACUCGUAAGCACGGAGAGAAAACCGCGAGGAUCCCCAACGUCCUGCUCGUCCUCAUCUCUGCGAGGAUCCCCAACGUCCCUCGUCCUGCUCGUCGCUCGUCGUCGAUCUUGCCCUGCUUCCUCGUCGUCGUUCUCCUCACCCUCAUCGACGAAAGCUUCUCGUUGGUGCCCAACCCCAUGCCUUUGCCUCCCAUCAACGAUCUCACUUGCAUUGUCACUGGAUCCACCAGCGGCAUCGGCCGCGAAAUCGCCAGGUCUCCUCCUUCUCCUUCCUUCAAAUCUCCAAACAUUGACGAUUUCAGUUUUCUUGUUAGCUUGUUUGUUUAGUAUAAAUAAAUCAACUCAAUUUGCAAGAUUGCAUUAAGACUUAGGGGUCCCACUGUUUGGUUACUGAGAAUUUUGAUAACCUGGUGCCCAUUUCUCAGUUUCAAUUGUGAAUUUUGAAUUAGUUUUGCUUAAACAUGAAAACUGAACAGGCAGCUGGCGGAAUCAGGCGCGCAUGUUGUAAUGGCGGUGAGGAAUACGAAAGCAGCUAAUGAGUUGAUCCAGAAGUGGCAAAAUGAAUGGUCUGGAAUGGGGCUUCCUCUCAAUAUUGAGGUAACUUAUUAACAGGGCCAACGCUAAUAUCUACAUUUCAUUAAUUAUAUACAAACAAUACUAUUGUUUAACUUUAAUAGGUAAUGGAACUUGAUCUGCUUUCAUUGGAUUCUGUUGUGAGAUUUGCCGAAGCAUGGAAUGCUCGUUUAGGACCUCUCCAUGUUCUUAUCAACAAUGCUGGGAUAUUUUCAAUUGGAGGUUGAUCGCUUUGUUGACAUUUUUACCUGAUUUCAAAUGUUCAUCCCUUCAGAAUCUGAUCGGUCAUUUGCUGGACUACACUGUCAUUGGUGUGUUCAGAGCCGCAAAAGUUUUCUAAAGAUGGUUACGAAGAACACUUGCAAGUGAAUCAUCUGGCUCCAGCGUUGCUAUCCGUCUUGCUAUUGCCUUCCCUUAUUAGAGGAUCUCCGAGUCGAAUUGUUAAUUUGAAUUCCGUUGUAAGUUCCAUGGUCAUCAUGCAUACAAUUUUACACUCUUCUACUUUUGCUUUUCUGGGUAUAUAUGAUAUAUAUAACAUUCGCACACCUACGUACACACACAUGGAAAGAAAAACUAGUUGGCAUAUAUGCUAACUAGUUGUAGAUACAUCCUUAGGUUUUUAGAUUGGCACUAUAAAUGUAUUUCACAGUUUGAUAUUCUUGUUUUAUUGUUAUGUUAAUCUGAGAAUGCUCGUUCUUUCUUUAUAUAGAUGCAUUAUGUUGGCUUUGUUGACACAGAAGACAUGAACGUUGUUUCCAGGAAAAGAAAAUAUACAAGCUUAGUGGGUUACUCAAGCAGCAAGUUGGCACAGGUGGUCUUGAAAGUCUUUAUUGUUUGAUGGUUUCCAUAUUUUAGCUGGAACAAGCUUGUAAGAGCUACAAGCUUUUCUUCCUAUCCAUCUUUGUGGAAAUGAAUUCAGGUCCUCUUGAUCUGUAAAGUUUAACUACUUUGUGCGAUAUAUAUAUAUAUAUAUAUUUGAAAUACAGGUGCCUCUGUCUUUAUUUAGAUCUUUUUAGUUACUUGGACCUGUACAUUGAUCAAGUGCUUGAUGAUUGGGUGCUAUAAUCUGCUUGUGUUUUUUUUUUAAUUUUUUUUUUAAUUUUUUUAAUUUUUAUGGUUUCAACUUCUGCUUUGAUCUCUCUUUUCUAUUAGUUUGUAAAAGCUGGUCAUCUAUUACCCAAGGCUGGACACUUGCACAUAAUUAAAUGUCAAUUAACUGCGGUGGUAUGUAUAUAAUUUUCGACGCUAAAACAAGACUACUCUAACCUAGUCGUAUAUGGAUUGCAGAUUAUGUUUAGUAGUGUCCUACAUAAGCGGCUGCCUGCUGAAUCUGGCAUUAGUGUAGUGUGCGUUUCACCUGGAAUUGUCCAGACUAAUGUUGUAAGUAUCUUGACGCGUUCCCCUCCCUUCCUUGUUAUCUCGAAGAAGGAUGUGCCUUCAAGGUUUCUAUAUGAAAGUUCUAAUUGACAGUCUUGCAUGUUAUUAUUUUAUGUACCUUGAAGAUUUUACGUUCAAAUAUUAUUUACAUAUACAGUAUAGUAUAUUGAAUUUUAUGUAUCAUUUUGGAUUUCAAUUAAUUACAGGCAAGGGAUCUACCCAGGAUUGUUCAGGCUGCGUAUCAUCUAGUACCUUAUUUGCUGCAACAUUCACUACUUUGCUGGCGGCCGUCGUAAGCACCCCAGGCGCCGCCGCUGGUUUUCUGUUAAAUGGGUUUUUUUCUUUAUUUGAGUUAUUUUUGUUUUUGUGGGGAAGAAGAUUGGUAGAUGAUGUGGUCCAAUCUGGGAACCAAUGCAUUUUCUUAAACGGCUGAGAUUGAAAGACUGAUUUGGCCUGGUAGAGCAUCCAAGUAAAAAUUUGGGUGUGUAAUCUGUGUGUGUGCAUCUGUAUGUGUGUGUGUGUGUGUGUAAUCUGUGUGUGUGUAAGUGUAAUAUGUGUGUGUAUGUAAUCUGUGUGUGUAUACUAUGUGUGUGUGUGUGUGUGUAAUCUGUGUGUAUGUAAUCUCUCUCUCUCUGUGUAAUCUGUGUGUGUGUGUGUAAUCUGUGUGUGUGUGUGUGUGUGUGUGUGUAAUCUGUGUGUAUGUAAUAUCUCUCUCUCUGUGUGUAAUCUGUGUGUGUGUGUGUAAUCUUUGUGUGUGUGUGUGUAUGUAUGUAAUCUCUCCUCUCUCUGUGUGUAAUCUGUGUGUGUGUGUGUAAUCUUUGUGUGUGUAAGUGUAAUAUGUGUGUGUGUGUGUGUGUGUGUGUGUAUAAUAUGUGUGUGUGUAAGUGUAAUAUGUGUGUGUGUGUGUGUUUGUGUAGUGUGUGUGUGUGGGUGUGUGUGUUUGUGUAUUGUGUCCGUGUGUGUGUGUGUGUGUGUGUGUGUGUGUGUGUGUGUGUGUGUGUGUGUGUGUGUGUGUGUGUGUGUGUGUGUGUGUGUAUUGUGUGUGUGUGUUUGUGUAGUGUGUGUGUGUGUGUGUGUGUGUGUGUGUGUGUGUUUGUGUAUUGUGGCCGUGUGUGUGUGUGUGUUUGUGUAGUGUGUGUGUGUGUAUGUGUGUUGUGUUGUGUGUUGUGGUAUUGUGGUCGUGUGUGUGUGUGUGUAUUGUGUGUGUUUGUGUAGUGUGUGUGUGUAGUGUGUGUGUGUAUUGUGUGUAAGUUUGAACCAACUUAAGUAGUACAAUUUGAUUAUGUAUGCAGUGUAUGUAUGUAUGCAGGGUGUGUGUGAGUGUAUGUCAGUGUGUGAGAGUGUGUAUGUCCGUGUGAGUGCAGUGUGUGCAUCUGACCAGUGUGUGUGUGUGUAUGUAUGCCGUGUGUGUGUGUGUGUGUAUGUAUGCAGUGUGUGUGUGUAUGUAUGCAAUGUGUGUGUGUAUGUAUGUAUGUAUGUAUGCAUGGUGUGUGUGAGUGUAUGUCCGUGUGUGAGAGUGUGUAUGUCCGUGUGAGUAUGUGUGUGAGUGUGUAUGCAGUGUGUGUGUGUAUGUAUGUAUGUAUGUCGUGUGUGUGUGUGUGUAUGUAUGCAAUGUGUGUGUGUGUGUGUAUGUAUGCAAUGUGUGUGUGUGUGUGUGUGUGUGUGUGUAUGCCGUGUGUGUGUGUGUGUGUGUGUGUGUGUGUAUGUAUGCAGUGUGUGUGUGUGUGUGUGUGCAGGGCAAUCAAACCGGAACUCAAGAAAGUGUUCGUCCAAAGGCUUUUAAGCGACAACGCAAGUGGAUGAAGAUUUUGGCUAAUGUUAACAUGGAUGUAUUUUAUUAAUGUUAACAUGGAUGUAUUUUAUUAAUCAUACAAUCUUAUGUUAUGGCUUAUAACUUAGCUUUGCACUAGUAUUUUGGCUUAUGUUAACUAGCCAUUUUGUAAAUUAUGGAGAUCUAUUUUGGCUAAUGUUAACUAAUGUUAUGUUAACUAAGAUUUUCUAAAUUAUGGAGAUCUUCUUAUGUACUUGUAUUUGUUGAAGUUGCAUGUAUUGGGCACUAUUAUUUUUCUUCUGUUGGGUGAUAGAGUUUAAACCAAGCUACAUUUGCAAAUUAAACCCAAUUCUAUUAGCAGGUAAUAGAAACAAAACAAUUGUCAAUUUUUUUUAAGAUUCAUAAUAUACAUGGCAAAAAUAUGCUCCAAUUAACUCAUAUCAUGAGAUUUGUAGCAUUACUCUAUUACACAAUGGCAAAAAUUUGUAGUCCUAGUCUAAGCAAACACAAAUCUGGUGAACAGUAUUGUUUUUCUUAUCCUGCUUCUUAGUCCGACAUUACACCAAACGCUUCACUAAAUUAGUCCAGCUUAGUCCAGUCUAAGCCAGUCCAGCUUAGUCCCGGCAGCUAGUCCAGCCCGAGACAGUCCGGCGCAACAAACGCACCCUAAUAAUGUUGGUGUAUGGACUUGAGAAACGACAAAAUGCCGGUCGGGAAGGUGCAGAGAAGAGUAAGAGAGAGAAAAGAGGAAAGAAACAAACACAAAAGGACAAAGAUUAUCAAAUAGAUUGUAACAAUGACUUCUUUGGUUGAAAUGUGUAAGCAUACUUCUUUGGUUGAAAUGUGUAAGCAUCUAAGAAGUAGCAUGACAACAACCGCAUAAUAAACAAAAGUGAUAGAAAAAAGGACCCAAAUGUGAAACGACAACUAAAAACAAUUGUCUCGCAAGCCGUCGGGUUUCGCCGGAAAAUCUGGGUUUUCGAAGAAAACAAGUGUGCAUGAAUAAAUAGUCCAAAAAUGGACCUCAAAUCAUCACCGGACAGGAUUUAACCCAUGAAUAUAAAGGUUAAACGAGAAAUCUCACCUGGGUUUUGAGUUUCGAAGCUUGAAACUCUUGGCUCCAAGGGUGGAUCACUGAAAUGGUGCUCCGAUGAUGCAUGCAAAGAUAUAUUCGAGUUCCUUGAGUCUCAGGGAUUCCAAAUAUGUGAUUUUGGGGCUGGGUUUGUGAGAGAAUCAAAGUGAGAGCAAGGGUUAAGC
RNAcentral lists this long non-coding RNA (5697 nucleotides) under Malus domestica (apple). Its description in RNAcentral is "long non-coding RNA (MDOM_LNC001348)". The record is from RNAcentral. Lineage: Eukaryota; Viridiplantae; Streptophyta; Magnoliopsida; Rosales; Rosaceae.